CAUUCACUUCCACUUCAAGUACAUGUAUCGCAGAUUAUACACUAAUAUCUUAUGAGUCCCACUUCCACUUCUGGUUUGCAUAAAUGAACCCAUAUUCACAAACUACCCAAAAGUAAAGUUGGAAUACCUUCGCCUGAAUACCAAUGUUUCUACUUUUCAGCAAUUUGGCUACUGAAACAGAAACAAAUUAUCAACAAUUCCUUCUCAGAUAUAGUUGUAAAGAUAUUUAUGCAUCAUGGUUCAAUUGCACCUUAUGAGUAUUGACAUGAAAAUGGAUAAGAAAUAUCUUGCAGAGAUGCUUCUACUCUGAGUAGCAGCAGACGUUUACCUGCAUGAUAAGCUUCCGCAUCCAACCAGUAGAUGAAGAAACACAACCAAAUUCCACUGCAGAAAUCUUGCGUUUGUAGCAAAAUUCCACACACGGCCUUCUACAUAUUACUUUUGGUGCUCCUCAUAUGCAGCAGGUGCUUUAUAUUUCCCUUAACCAGUUGUCCUG
This 496-nucleotide long non-coding RNA is filed under the name Oryza sativa (Asian cultivated rice). RNAcentral's name for it is "long non-coding RNA (OSAT_LNC001167)". Lineage: Eukaryota; Viridiplantae; Streptophyta; Magnoliopsida; Poales; Poaceae. The record is from RNAcentral.